AUUGAUUUUAUGCUUGCAUAAAUGAUUUUUGGAUUCGGAGCGAGUGGCGAACUGGUGAGUAACACGUGGGUAACCUGCCCCGAAGCGGGGGAUAACAUUUGGAAACAAGUGCUAAUACCGCAUAAUUAGUUGGAACCGCAUGGUUCCAACUUGAAAGAUGGCUCUGCUAUCACUUUGGGAUGGACCCGCGCCGUAUUAGUUAGUUGGUGAGAUAAAAGCCCACCAAGACGAUGAUACGUAGCCGACCUGAGAGGGUAAUCGGCCACAUUGGGACUGAGACACGGCCCAGACUCCUACGGGAGGCAGCAGUAGGGAAUCUUCCACAAUGGACGAAAGUCUGAUGGAGCAACGCCGCGUGAGUGAUGAAGGUUUUCGGAUCGUAAAACUCUGUUGUUAAAGAAGAACAAGUGUUAGAGUAACUGUUAACACUUUGACGGUAUUUAACCAGAAAGCCACGGCUAACUACGUGCCAGCAGCCGCGGUAAUACGUAGGUGGCAAGCGUUGUCCGGAUUUAUUGGGCGUAAAGCGAGCGCAGGCGGUUUUGUAAGUCUGCUGUGAAAGCCCUCAGCUCAACUGAGGAAGUGCAGUGGAAACUACAAAACUUGAGUACAGAAGAGGAAAGUGGAACUCCAUGUGUAGCGGUGAAAUGCGUAGAUAUAUGGAAGAACACCAGUGGCGAAGGCGGCUUUCUGGUCUGUUACUGACGCUGAGGCUCGAAAGCAUGGGUAGCGAACAGGAUUAGAUACCCUGGUAGUCCAUGCCGUAAACGAUGAAUACUAGGUGUUGGAGGGUUUCCGCCCUUCAGUGCCGCAGCUAACGCAUUAAGUAUUCCGCCUGGGGAGUACGACCGCAAGGUUGAAACUCAAAGGAAUUGACGGGGGCCCGCACAAGUGGUGGAGCACGUGGUUUAAUUCGAUGCUACGCGAAGAACCUUACCAGCUCUUGACAUCUUCUGCCAACCCAAGAGAUUGGGCGUUCCCUUCGGGGACAGAAUGACAGGUGGUGCAUGGUUGUCGUCAGCUCGUGUCGUGAGAUGUUGGGUUAAGUCCCGCAACGAGCGCAACCCUUAUUAUUAGUUGCCAGCAUUUAGUUGGGCACUCUAGUGAGACUGCCGGUGAUAAA
RNAcentral lists this ribosomal RNA (1123 nucleotides) under uncultured bacterium. Its description in RNAcentral is "bacterial SSU rRNA". It matches the Rfam family "Bacterial small subunit ribosomal RNA", at positions 47 to 1162 of the family's 1533-position model. The record is from RNAcentral.